CAAUUCCUGAGAUGUGCGUGGCGCUUAUAAGGUUCAACCACAGUAAUAUUAAGGGAUUUGCAACAAUUUUAUAGGAUGUCAUGCUUCCAAAAUAGGAAGAAGACAGAAUAUAAAUGAGCUUAACCCACCUGCGAGAGUGCGGGUAUGAACUAAUAAGCUGUACGGCAUGUUGGGAUAUAU
This 180-nucleotide non-coding RNA is filed under the name Clostridium sp. USBA 49. RNAcentral describes it as "6S / SsrS RNA". It matches the Rfam family "6S / SsrS RNA". Rfam says of the family: E. coli 6S RNA was the first non coding RNA to be sequenced, but its function was unknown until recently. It consists of 184 nucleotides that fold into an extended hairpin structure with a large single-stranded internal bulge. The 6S RNA specifically associates with RNA polymerase holoenzyme containing the sigma70 specificity factor. The record is from Rfam by way of RNAcentral. Lineage: Bacteria; Bacillati; Bacillota; Clostridia; Eubacteriales; Clostridiaceae.